RNAcentral lists this ribosomal RNA (996 nucleotides) under uncultured bacterium. RNAcentral describes it as "bacterial SSU rRNA". It matches the Rfam family "Bacterial small subunit ribosomal RNA", at positions 356 to 1376 of the family's 1533-position model. The record is from RNAcentral.
GGGGGAUAUUGCACAAUGGGGGAAACCCUGAUGCAGCGACGCCGCGUGGAGGAAGAAGGUUUUCGGAUUGUAAACUCCUGUCGUUAGGGACGAUAAUGACGGUACCUAACAAGAAAGCACCGGCUAACUACGUGCCAGCAGCCGCGGUAAAACGUAGGGUGCAAGCGUUGUCCGGAAUUACUGGGUGUAAAGGGAGCGCAGGCGGACCGGCAAGUUGGAAGUGAAAACUAUGGGCUCAACCCAUAAAUUGCUUUCAAAACUGCUGGCCUUGAGUAGUGCAGAGGUAGGUGGAAUUCCCGGUGUAGCGGUGGAAUGCGUAGAUAUCGGGAGGAACACCAGUGGCGAAGGCGACCUACUGGGCACCAACUGACGCUGAGGCUCGAAAGCAUGGGUAGCAAACAGGAUUAGAUACCCUGGUAGUCCAUGCCGUAAACGAUGAUUACUAGGUGUUGGAGGAUUGACCCCUUCAGUGCCGCAGUUAACACAAUAAGUAAUCCACCUGGGGAGUACGACCGCAAGGUUGAAACUCAAAGGAAUUGACGGGGGCCCGCACAAGCAGUGGAGUAUGUGGUUUAAUUCGAAGCAACGCGAAGAACCUUACCAGGUCUUGACAUCCGAUGCAUAGUGCAGAGAUGCAUGAAGUCCUUCGGGGCAUCGAGACAGGUGGUGCAUGGUUGUCGUCAGCUCGUGUCGUGAGAUGUUGGGUUAAGUCCCGCAACGAGCGCAACCCUUAUUGCCAGUUACUACGCAAGAGGACUCUGGCGAGACUGCCGUUGACAAAACGGAGGAAGGUGGGGAUGACGUCAAAUCAUCAUGCCCUUUAUGACCUGGGCUACACACGUACUACAAUGGCGUUUAACAAAGAGAAGCAAGACCGCGAGGUGGAGCAAAACUCAAAAACAACGUCUCAGUUCAGAUUGCAGGCUGCAACUCGCCUGCAUGAAGUCGGAAUUGCUAGUAAUCGCGGAUCAGCAUGCCGCGGUGAAUACGUUCCCG